This 3680-nucleotide unclassified non-coding RNA is filed under the name Penaeus monodon (black tiger shrimp). RNAcentral describes it as "uncharacterized LOC119573379, transcript variant X1". Lineage: Eukaryota; Metazoa; Arthropoda; Malacostraca; Decapoda; Penaeidae. The record is from RNAcentral.
AAAUAAUUUGAAUUUUUUUGAGAUUGCGCAGUUGAUAAAACUCCAUUUAAUCUUGAAGAGAAGUAACGCCAGUUAUGAUUAUUUAUUAUUUAACCUAAAUUAAUCCCACAAUUAACAGUUAAAUACGUCUUUAGUCAUUUGUGAAUUUGAUAUAUUGUCAUAGAGAGAAAAUGACGUAAUGAGCUUAAGGAAAAGGAGGACUGAACAAACCUUCGCGAUGGCUGCUAAUUCCAUAACCGUUCAGUGGAAUGCGCAUUACUCUGCCCUCCUCCACCUGCUAAAAAAUGCGAGAAGAGAGGGUUGGUAUUGUGAUGCAACUGUCCUGUGCAACGGCAAGUAUUAUUCUGUGCACAAGUUUGUCUUGGCAGCGUGCAGCGAUUACUUUGAAGAGAUGUUUGACAAGAUCAGCGGCAAACACCCCAUGAUCGUCAUGACGGACAUGAAAACGGCUCGUCUGGAGGCACUGCUGUCCUACAUGUACGAGGGGGAGGUUGACAUCAUGCAGGAGGAUUUGGCCGGGUUCAUGGAGACUGCGGAAGCCUGGAAGGUCAAGGGCUUGUCCAGCUCCAGCGACGAGCAGGAGCAAGCAGAGGGCGGAAGGAGAGGCCAGAAUGCCCCGACCGAGCGGCACGUCUCUCCUCCAGUGGCGGAUCAAGUGCAGGAGUACAGCAAGCGGAGAAUGGCCCUCAACAACGACUGGCAGAAGGCGAAGCGCAUGAGGUACACCGAGAUGAUCAGAGACCUGCCCCCAAUUUCGGUCACGGAAGAGCCCUUUUCGCAGAAUGCCUGUGGGGAGUUGGGGCACAACCCUAACAUACCCAGCAUUGUUCCAGGCUCUGCUGUCAGUCUGAGUGCACCCAUGAAAGCUUGCAGUGCCGCUGCUGAGGUCAAGAAAAAUGCCGAUCCUAAUAGAAGCCCAGGAGGUGUUCAGGCUCAGCAGGGAGAGAGUAAUAAGGUUCAGCGUAAAGGGGAGAGUCAGAACUGCGUCGAUGAUGCUGGUUCAGACGUUUCAGCGGAGGAUAUUAUGGUAGUGGAUUUGAAGUUAGAACCCGGAGAAGUAGUAGAAAAUUUUGGUACAUAUCAGGCAGGCCCUUUUGCUACUCCAUCAGCUAGAUAUUCCCUUGACACCCCGAGUAAUAAUGACUGUGUUCAAGAUGGUGUGAGCGACUAUCACCAAGUAAGAGGCAGACGUAAAUCGAAGACAGGAGGAGAUAAUAGCAACACACAAAUCCAGGUCACGCCACUGUCGUCGGUUCAGAGAGAGUGUGUUGAGUUAAGAGAUUUUCAGCAGCUGCAGGGUGCAGCCAAGCUACCGAAAGGCCAGAGAAAAUACACAAAAGAUAAUGCAUCAUCUGUUGUCUCAAGCCAACUAGAUACCCCAAAGAGUGCAGCAUCCAAGGGGAAAAGAAAAACUGAAGGUCCAAAGCAGAACCUCCUUCUCACUGGGGGAAAGAGGAAAUAUACAAGAAAGAACACAAAGGUCAAGCAAACAAAUCCCAGUGGUGGAAGCAGACCUGAUAUGGGAAAGGAAGGCGUACCAAAGAGAAAAGUUGGACGGCCUCGCAAGAUAAUCCAGCCUCCCGUUUCUAACAGUGACAGCACUCCAUCCUCAGUAAUACCUAAGCAAACAGAUGAGAUGCAGUCUAUGCAUGUUGGAGGAGAAGAGAGCAUAAGCUCUCCCCCGAACUCCAAGCAAGUGAAGGAUCAGAAUCUCUGUCCCGAGUCCUACAAGGAAAAUGAAAGAAUAGAGAAGUCACCGCUGCCCGAAGUUUCACAACUGGAAACUGUAGCUCCCUUUACAAGCUUGCAGUGUAGAAAUGAAAACUCAGUUACACCUCCUGUGACACUGGAACCUCCUCCAGAGGAAAACACAAACAGAUCGCAGAGCAGUGCUAGGCGAUUAGCAGCAUCCAAAAGAAGAACGAGUUUACUGAGGCAGUUCCGAAAGGAAGCCCCCGUUGUUUCCGAAAAUUCCCAGCCGUCCUCAGAGGAAGAACAGAAUAGAAAAUCUCAGAGUGCCACACAAGUUGGAGGGAAAGUGCCGUGGAUUAACCGCAAGAAAAGAAUCCCCAACUCGAGAAGAUGGUCAAAACCAAAGAAAAAUAAGUCAUACAAGAAGUUACGCAGAGCUAGUGCAAAAGAGCCUGGUAAGUUAUUGAGAGAAUCAGACACUUUAUCAGUGGAAUACGACAAAACAGAGAUGGUUUCCAGUAGAUUGUUAACAGGAUCUGAUGACGUGUUAACAGAGUCAGAUAAGACAGAACCACCUCCAAAUAAGAUGACGUUGGGAUCGCCCUGUUCGGAAACUGAAAGUCCACAUCAAGAGGAGUCAGCAGCACAAGGGGCAGUUCCUUCAGUAGAGGUCGCAGAAAUUGGAAACCAAGAGAACGCGAGCCUAUCUCUUGAAGAAGGGGAAGCCCCAAAGGAAGGAAAUAAUGAACAACAGAAGUCUUUGAAAGAUGAUGAAGCUGAAGUUGGCAUCGAGACAGAGGAUCACCCUCUCGUUCCAUUGCCAGUUCUUUUUUUAUCGAGUCCAAUGCCGGAGAGAGAGAAACUCCACUGUAGUCAGUUGUCCACGAGCGAGCAUAAUGAUUCAAUCGGAAAGAUACAAAAGAUUUCAGAAAUUUAGUUCGAGAAGUGAGACUGGCCUCUCACUUUCUUUAUGUUAAAAAAAAGUUAUGUUCAAUUGUAAAUUUUAUUAAUCUUUCUUUGUUUCUUUCUCUCUUUCUUCCUGUACCCUGUCUCCUGUUAUGAACUUUUUGAUAUUUAAAAUAGGUUUUUGCAGAAAACAGGACAUGACUUACAUUAGCACCCUUGUGAGCGAGACACUUGUCAUAAGAGAUAUAAAAGCUCCUAUGACUCAGAACCAACACUUUUAUUAAUAUUUAAAGGAAAUUACACAUGUAUUCUUCUUGAUGCAUGUCCAAGUCCUAAAUGAUUUACUAAAAUCCUCCUCAUUCUAUAGGCAUUAAGUACAAAAUUUAUUAUCCUUGUGCAUUUUCUUUCCAUUUUGCGAGGACAUGAUAUAACGUUGUUGUCUACUUUUGGCUUCACAACAGUUUUUAACACAAGGUGUGCUCUGGGAGGUGUUUGUACUGUAGUUUCACUCACAGAUUAUUUUGUCUGUCCUUUAUUUUCCUGAAAAGAAAAGGAAAAGUCUACCAAAAAUAUAUGUAAUAUAUCAUAUAGAGUAUUUUUAGUUAGCUGUAAGUGAAUGGUCUGUUAAUUUUUUUUGUUUUUAUUGAUUUUGGGUCUUAUUUUUAUAUUAAUGUUAUUGAUGUUGAGUCAGUAUAUACUUAAGCACGAGACUUCAUUAAAUAAGUGUAGAAAACAGUGUCAGUAUACGAAUAUUGUUUACCAAAAGCUUUUUGUCUCUUGUAGAUUACUGUAUGUAUGGGUACAUAAUGAAAGGAAAAUUGUGAUAAAGAAUAAUUCUCAACAAAUUUGACAAUCUGUAUGAAAUUUUUACUUUCAAAUUAUUUUGAUACACUAGAAGGUUCACUUGAUUUAAGAAGUAUUCAUUGGUAUUACUUCUGUUCUGUAUAUAUAUUAAUUUGAGUUGCAGAUUCAGAAUAUCUUGUAUGCUGUAGUGCCGUGUGUUACUUUCGAUCUGGACAAAAUAUCUUUAUUCUUCAUACUGAUACUAAUAUGUAGAUGAAGAUUAAACAUUGGUUAAGUGC